CAGCAAAUGUUUGUUGAUGUUAACACAAAUUUUGACGGAAAAGUAACAAUCUAUGAAUUUAUGUCUGAAAUGACCAAAAGAGACCCAAGAACAAUAAGGCAAGUAUCCUUUUAAUUUUAGUUUCUUGUGUAUAAUUUCGGAGUUUAGUAUGACGUCCACUAUCACUGAACUAGUAUAUAUAUUUGUUUAGGGGCCAGCUGAAGGACUUCUCCAAAUGCGGGAGUUUCUCUCGCUGCAUUGAAGACCCAUUGGUGACCAUCGGCUGUUGUUUGCUCUCUGGUUGGGUUGUUGUCUCUUUGACACAUUCCCCAUUUCCAAUCUCAAUUUUAUUUCGACUUUCAUUUAUAUAUAUAUUAAGAUUUUUUUUUAUUUUAAGAAUUGAAUUCUUCUUUUUGAAACUUCAUUGGGGUGUAAAAGCGUUGACCGAAGUACAUUUUCUAUGAAGCGCGGAAGCGCUUCAUUCUAAAAAUGUGCGCACAGUCAACGCUUUACACCCUAUGAAGUUACAAAAAGAAGCAUUCAAUACUUAUAAUUACAUUUUUUAGCUAUGAUCAUGAAAACACGAUUUUUAUAAUUGUUUUGUUUAAUUCACCCGUGCACUUUAUUGUGGGACCACGUGUUAUCAUGAAUGAAAAGUUUUACUGACUAAAUGCAAUUGCUUAAGGGAGAACAUGUGAUGUGCAGUUGAAACAGAAUAAAGUGUCAUAAUGAAACAUACAUCUAAUGUUAUUAGGCCACCCUUAAAAAAUUGUUUGUUUGGCAUUGCCGACUCACACCAGCAGCAGGUGGGUAGGUAGGUAGGGAUUUUUUUUUUUUUUUUUUUUACAUUUAACAACUUUAUAUAUCACAACCAUGAUGACUCUAGAUCACAGCCAAAAGCAGUGCAGCAUUGUUGUGUGUACAAACUUAUAGUUUCUUUGAUAGGGGUUAAUGUCACAUUCUACAACACAUGGAUAAUUCCAUGUCAAACAUUCAGUUUUUUUGGAGGAGUAAACCAAAGUACCCAGCAGAAACAUAUCUGUGGUAAGGAACUGACAUUAACCAUGUAACAUGUUAGACAUGAAAAUUGAAUCUUAAUUUGACUGUCCAUUGAAUAGAGGCUUAAUGUCACAUCUUGAAAUUGCCUUCAGUUUGGUAAACUUAUCAUAUUUAAAUCAGUUCGACCACUACAGUUCCUUGUACAAAUAGAUGAUUUAAAGCUUUGAUUGUUUGCUUGUUUGAUGGGAUUUAAAAGUAACUUUCUACACCAUAUGGGGCAGUUCAUUAGCAUCAGUUUUAUUGGUGGACGAAAGCGUAGUGCACAGAGGAACCUUAUUAUAAAUGUCAUGACAAUCUAACCUUAAUUUUGUGAAUGCAUACAUGUACAUUUUUUUGUACUUAUCCCUAGAGGUGAUAAGACUAGCAUUAAUACAUGCAAAUUUUGCGGAACUACCAAAUGGUCAAAGCCACUACAGCCCCUGAUCAGCUUUGAGAAUAGCAAAAUAUUACAAAUUUAGAAGGUUGGCACAAGAACAGUCAUGAAUGCCUCACCCUGGCAGGGUGUUUAUACUGCAUUUGUAAUAACCGCAAGAAAAGUAUGAUAAUUUCAAAAUAUAAAUGUGCUGUAGGACAGACAAUUUUUACAGAUAAUUUAAAAUAAAUUUUAAGGUUGUUAUGAUUGUUUGAUUGACAGGGUUCUGGACAUGCAUGACAUAAAUACAGUUAAAUUCAUGAGCCCUUGGUUUGCUUAAAACAAUGGAACACUACCAGUAGAUAUAUUUAUAAAAUAUGUUGCCGUCGGAUAUCUUUUCUGUUUUAAGAAUUAUCUUAUUCAUAUUAAGAAGAAAGAGAGGGUUUGGGUUCAUAAAUUCUUGACACACAAAAGAGGCUAGUCUUUGAAAUAUGUAUGCUUUGUACCAGGCUAACCUCUACUGGUACAAAACUACUAUAAACCUGUAAAUCUGGGACCAUAUUGGUCUUUUAGCUUUGGUGCUUUCAUGCAGGUACACCUUUCAGCCAUCAAGCCAAUGCAUCAUCAUCUUGAAUAGAUAUAAGAAGAUGUGGUAUGAGUGUCAACGAGGCAACUCUCCAUCCAAGUCACAACUUGUAAAAGUAAACAAUUAUAGGUCAAAGAAUACAUUGUUUUUGAAUUUACAUGGCAACAUGCUUUGUUAUCUGCAUGUUCAAGGAAAAUUUGUCAAAGAUAGAUUUCACAUCUUUAAGAGAUCUUUCAGAGGUUAAAGCCACAGAUGUUUGUUCUGUCAUGUCUGGGUGAAAAGCUUCUAUCUCAUGAUGUGAGGAUGCAAAGCAGACAUCAACAAAUAAUUUUACAGUGUCACUGUCUGCUUUACCAAAGACGACAUUUGAGUUCUCUACAAGGCCUUUCAGAACAUCAACCCAUGUUCCAUCUAAAGAAUAGGUGAACAUCUUAUUUUUAAUAAAAUGUUCCUCUCCCUUGACUAGAGCAUAAGUGGAUGCUAUCCACUGCCUGUCUUUUUGACAUUUUUGGCAGACUUUUAUCGAAUCUAUGUUAUUCAAACGCUUGCUCUGAAGAAUACAGUGUACAACAAGCACUUUAAAGAUCAUGAUUUGAAAUAAGUAAAGCCCGGAAACAAACUCCGCGGAUAUGAUAAAAAUUCCGGCGGUUUUCCGAUUUUUUUAAUACAAAAAAAAAUACAAAUUUUGAAAACACCAAUAAAAUUAUUCGGGCGGCAAGUUUUUCAGUGGGUCGGGCGGCAAUGCCAAACAAAUGAAAUUUUAUUUUAGGCCUUAUUAGCAUCUAAACGUGCACGUUACUGCUUGACGGCAUUCAUAAUUUUGACAUUGACGAAUUUUUAUAAAUAAUAUACUCGUAGAACAUAUCACAUAUAGAUAUGAGUCACUAAAAUACAAAAGCAAAUCUUCAAAAUAUAAAUGUUUUACUUAUUAUUUAUGAAUAAAAAGGUAAAGUUUUUUUUAUCAAAUUUUUUGCCUUAAGCAUCACUUUUGACAUCAACUAUGGUUACAUAAAAUGUAUACAACACAACGUCCAUGUAUGAAACACCGACAGAAACUAUCUUUUAUUUAAAACCGUAUGUCGUUUCUGGAUUGUUGUACAUUUGGACUGUCUCGUUUAAACAUGACCAAAACCCUAUCUUAUUUAGAUCUGCAUUUCUCUUUUCAGUGAUGCAGAACUUUUGGAAAUGUUCCGGAAGUUUGACGCCAAUAAAGAUGGAUACAUAACAAAGGACGAGCUCGAAAAAACACUGGACGGAAGUAAGAUUCGAUGGACAGAUUUUUUAUUGAAAGAUAUUAUAAAAAAGACAGAUUUUGAUGGUGAUGGCAAAAUAUCAUGGGAUGAAUUUAGAAAAUCUUGUCAGUAUAAACAGAUCAUAGUGUGAACAGGACGGAAUUUUAAUUGAUGUAAUCUAAAGGAAUCAAAAUAAUACAUUGUACAGAAUAAAGUAUAUAUAAUGUAUACACGAAAGGUACUCACCAACGUUCCUUAAAGUCGUUAUAUAAUGUAUUUAUCAGGACGAUUUAGGACAAUUCAAUAAUGGAAGUUUGCAUCUUUCAUGAAUGUUAUCCUUAAUAAAAAAGUAUUCAUGCUUUUUUUCCUAAAUUUUUUUUUCUGUCUCAUUAGGACAUGAAU
Molecule: long non-coding RNA, 3610 nt
Filed under: Mytilus galloprovincialis (Mediterranean mussel)
Lineage: Eukaryota; Metazoa; Mollusca; Bivalvia; Mytilida; Mytilidae
Source: RNAcentral